AAGAAAUCCACAAAAAUAUUUAGAAACCAAACAUUGUUGAAAAUAUAUUUUUUGUAUAUGCCGUAAUCUCGUAAGUUGAUUUUACAUCAUGCAAAUUAAUAUUAAAUGAGUUAAAAUUAAUAAAUGAA
RNAcentral lists this small RNA (128 nucleotides) under Arabidopsis thaliana (thale cress). RNAcentral's name for it is "ATSL152110". Lineage: Eukaryota; Viridiplantae; Streptophyta; Magnoliopsida; Brassicales; Brassicaceae. The record is from RNAcentral.